Molecule: ribosomal RNA, 464 nt
Filed under: uncultured bacterium
Lineage: Bacteria
Description: partial 16S ribosomal RNA
Rfam family: Bacterial small subunit ribosomal RNA
Source: RNAcentral
GACGAACGCUGGCGGCGUGCUUAACACAUGCAAGUCGAACGGUAAGGCCCUUUCGGGGGUACCCGAGUGGCGGACGGGGGAGUAACACGUGGGUGAUCUGCCCUGCACUUUUUGAUAAGCGGGGGAAACUGGGGCUAAUACCGGAUAGGACUACGCGAUGCAUGGGGUGUGGUGGAGAGCUUUUGCGGUUUGGGAUGGGCCCGCGGCCUAUCAUCUUGUUGGUGGGGUGAUGGUCUACCAAGGCGACGACGGGUAGCCGGCCUGGGAGGGUGUCCGGCCACCCUGGGCCUGCGGUAGGCCCCAGACUCCUACGGUGGGCAAUAGUGGGGAAUCUUGCCCAGUGGGCGCGCGCCGGAUGCGGAGGCCCCGCGUGGGGGAUGCCGUCCUUUGGGUUGAAAACCCCUUCCGGCUAAGACCAAGCGGAAGUGACGGUACCUGCAGAAGAAGCACCGGCUAACUACGUG